UCGCCAGGGAACUACGAGCAAAGCUUAAAACCCAAAGGACUUGACGGUACCCCAUAUCCCCCUAGAGGAGCCUGUCCUAUCAUCGAUACUCCACGUUUAACCUCACCAUUUCUAGUCUAUCAGCCUGUAUACCUCCGUCGUCAGCUUACCGCAUGAGCGACCCCCAGUGAGCUUAAUGGCGUUACACCAAUACGUCAGGUCAAGGUGCAGCAAAUGAAAUGGGAAGAGAUGGGCUACACUUUCUAAAUUAGAAAAAACGAAAGACUUUAUGAAACCUAGUCGGAAGGCGGAUUUAGAAGUAAGGGGAAAUCAGAAUGUCCCCNUUAACUUGCACUGGGGUNUGU
This 344-nucleotide ribosomal RNA is filed under the name Gastrotheca riobambae (Riobamba marsupial frog). Its description in RNAcentral is "partial 12S ribosomal RNA". It matches the Rfam family "Bacterial small subunit ribosomal RNA", at positions 869 to 1384 of the family's 1533-position model. The record is from RNAcentral. Lineage: Eukaryota; Metazoa; Chordata; Amphibia; Anura; Hemiphractidae.